RNAcentral lists this transfer RNA (85 nucleotides) under Paludibacteraceae bacterium. RNAcentral describes it as "tRNA-Ser". It matches the Rfam family "tRNA". From Rfam's summary of the family: Transfer RNA (tRNA) molecules are approximately 80 nucleotides in length. Their secondary structure includes four short double-helical elements and three loops (D, anti-codon, and T loops). The record is from RNAcentral. Lineage: Bacteria; Pseudomonadati; Bacteroidota; Bacteroidia; Bacteroidales; Paludibacteraceae.
GGAAGCGUGGGAGAGUGGUUUAUUCCAGAAGUCUUGAAAACUUCCGUACUGAAAGGUACCGUCGGUUCGAAUCCGGCCGCUUCCG